Molecule: ribosomal RNA, 1265 nt
Filed under: Tentaculariidae sp. HR-2017
Lineage: Eukaryota; Metazoa; Platyhelminthes; Cestoda; Trypanorhyncha; Tentaculariidae
Description: eukaryotic LSU rRNA
Rfam family: Eukaryotic large subunit ribosomal RNA
Source: RNAcentral
CAUAUCACUAAGCGGAGGAAAAGAAACUAACCAGGAUUCCCCUAGUAACGGCGAGUGAAGAGGGAGAAGCCCAGCACCGAAGCCUGCGGUAGUGUUACUGCUAGGCAAUGUGGUGUUUGGGUCGGCUAGUGGGAUUGCCACUCCGUUCGAAGUCCAGCAUUGAGUAUGGUACCCUGGAUUUGGCCCAUAGAGGGUGAAAGGCCCGUGCGAAUGGAAGUUUCAGACAUGAAAGGCGAUUCACCAGGUCGACCUUAGAGUCGGGUUGUUUGAGAAUGCAGCCCAAAGUGGGUGGUAAACUCCAUCCAAGGCUAAAUACUAGCACGAGUCCGAUAGCGAACAAGUACCGUGAGGGAAAGUUGAAAAGUACUCUGAAGAGAGAGUAAACAGUACGUGAAACCGCAUAAAGGUAAACGGGUGGCGUCAAGCUGCAAGCCUGGAGGAUUCAGCCGGUCAUUUUGUAGGGUAUACGUCCUGUGUAUCCCAGUCGGUGAUAGUGAGUAGUCUGCUGGCAACGGCGGGCCUGGCCGCAAGGCUAGGAUGUACGUUCCACUUGUUCGGUGGUGUACGCUGCUCGGCUAUUGGACUGGAUGGCCAGUGCACUUCCUCCAUUAAGGUGAACACCACGACCGGUGGAACUGCCAGUCUGGUAUAGCCAAGUUGUGUCUAUUCUUGCAUUCGUGUGGAUUAGGCUCAAUCACAGGCAGAUUCGGUGGACGGUGAGUGAACUUCGGUUUGCUCAUGUUAUCGGUCACUGGCUGUCAACGGGUUCGUCCGCUGAGGUUGCAGUCCUUGGUGGGUGGCCUGGUGGGCUUUACUGGUAAGAAUAACUGUGCAGGGCACCGGAGUUGUCGGUCUCUAAUCCGGUUGGCGCACGCGCUGCAAGUGUGUGUGGAGGUGCCAUUUCGGCCUGUCGUUGGUUGGGUCUGAUUGCCGUGUCGCCUGCGAAAAGUAGGUCCGGUAGUGGCUCGGCUACGGUUGGUGCAUGGAGUGGUGCUUCUCUGUCAGUCGGUGUGGACCCAAUAGUCUGUGGUGUAGUGGUAGACGAGCUACCCGACCCGUCUUGAAACACGGACCAAGGAGUUUAACAUACACGCGAGUCAUUGGGGACUUCCGAAACCCACAGGCGCAAUGAAAGUGAAGCCUCCUUUGGAGGUGUGGUGAGAUCCUGCUGUUACUCGCAUCUGCACUCGUGUAGCUUGUCGGCUCAGGGCGCAAAGAGCGGUGGGCGCAUCACCGGCCCGUCUCAUGAUGUGGUCAUUGGUCGG